Molecule: ribosomal RNA, 508 nt
Filed under: uncultured bacterium
Lineage: Bacteria
Description: partial 16S ribosomal RNA
Rfam family: Bacterial small subunit ribosomal RNA
Source: RNAcentral
GACGAACGCUGGCGGCAGGCCUAACACAUGAAAGUCGAGCGGCAGCGGGAAAGUAGCUUGCUACUUUUGCCGGCGCGCGGCGGACGGGGGAGUAAUGCCGGGGAAAUUGCCCAGUCGCUGGGGAUAACAGUCGCAAACGACUGCUAAUACCGCAUACGCUCUACGGGGGAAAGCAGGGGACCUGCGGGCCUUGCCGGCUUGGAUACUCCCUGGUGGGAUUAGCUAGUUGGUGAGGUAAUGGCUUACCAAGGCGACGAACCCUUGCUGGUCUGAGAGGAUGAUCAGCCACACUGGAAAUGGGACACGGUCCAGACUCAUACGGGAGGGAGCAGUGGGGAAUAUUGCACGAUGGGGGAAACCCGGAUGCAGCCAUGCCGCGUGUGUGAAGAAGGCCUUCGGGUUGUAAAGCACUUUCAGCGAGGAGGAAAGGUUGAUGCCUAAGACGUAUCAACUGUGACGUUACUCGCAGAAGAAGCACCGGCUAACGCCGUGCCAGCCGCCGCAGUAA